This 3575-nucleotide long non-coding RNA is filed under the name Sus scrofa (pig). RNAcentral's name for it is "lncRNA (ENSSSCG00050035783.1)". Lineage: Eukaryota; Metazoa; Chordata; Mammalia; Artiodactyla; Suidae. The record is from RNAcentral.
GUUCCUUAAUAAGACAAUUCCCAUGAUUAUUUUUAUUGGCUCACAUCUUUAUGGUUUGUUUCUUGAGGGGUUUGUUUGUUUGUUUGCUUGCUUGUUUUUUGGCUAUGCCCACAGCAUGUGGAAGUUCCAGGGCCAGGGAUUAAACCUGCAGCCCAGCAGUGACAAUGCCAGAUCCUUAAACCACUGCCACCAGGGAACUCAUUCGCAUCUUUAAAACUUUGUGUAUCCAGGAGUUCCCGUCGUGGCUCAGUAGAAACCAAUCUGACUAGCAUCCAUGAGGACGCAGGUUUGAUCCCUGACCUUGCUCAGUGAGUUAAAGAUUCGGCAUUGCCAUGAGCUGUGGUGUAGGUUGCAGAUGUGGCUUGGAUCCCACAUUGCUGUGGCUCUGGUAUAGGCUGGCAGCUGCAGCUCCAAUUCAACCCCCUAGCCUGGGAACCCCAAUAUGCUGCAGGCACAAGCCAUAAAAAGAAAAAAACAAAACAAAACAAAAAAAACCCCACAACUUUGGGUAUCCAACACUUAUUGCCUGCCUUUUUUUUUUAAUGGCCACACCCAUGGUAUAUGGAAGUUUCUAGGUCAGGGAUUGAAUCCAAGCCAAAGCUGUGACCUACACAACAGUUGCAGCAAUACCAGAUCCUUUAACCCACAGUGCCAGGCCAGAGAUAGAACCGGCACCUCUGCAGCAACCAGAGCCACUGCAAUCAGAUUCUUAACCCACUGUGCCCCAGCAGAACUCCCAUUACAUGCCUCUUAUGUUCUUGGCACUAGAAAUAUAAAAAUGAGGUAGACACAACCCCUGUCUUUGAGUCUGGACCUAGCCUAGCAGCUUGUAGGACACCUGGGCUCUUGUGGCUGUCACUGAAGGAGGUCCAGUCUCUUUGCCCUCUUCAGUUUCUGGAGGCAGGAAUCUGGGGCAGGGGGCAGAAGGCACAGUCCCAACCCACCUUAUAGGGGAUGACCAGGAACCUCCCAGUGGAUCAAGAAUAUAUCCAGACAAGAGAGUUCCUGCCAUGGCUCAGUGGAAACAAAUCUGACUAACAUCCAUGAGGACACAGGUUCAAUCCCUGGCCUCACUCAGUGGGUUAAGGAUGCGGCGUUGCCAGGAGCUGUGGUGUAGGUCGCAGACGUGGCUCAGAUCUUGCGUUGCUGUAACUGUGGCAACGAUUAGACCCCUAGCCUGGGAACCUCCAUAUGCCACGGGUACAGCCCUAAAGAAAAGACAAAAAAAGAAUAUAUCCAGACUAUAUAUUAAUUUUUGUAUUAGAGCAUUUGAGACAUAAGUGCCGGAGUGAAAAUAAACUCUGAUAAGUUGACCCCUCCCCCAGCCCCCCAGCAGGAAGUGUGGUUUGACUCAGAUGGUUUCUAAGACAGAGGUAGGAACCCUCAUUCCUUUCCAGACUCAGCUAAUAGCAUGAUUUUUCUAGGGGACACUGACCUAAAAGGGGUCCUCUUGAGAUAAUGUCCCCCAGCUAUAAGGUGCUCCCCUUUCUAGGGCAGAGAUAAUUCUAAAGCAACUGUAGCGCGGAUGGGUUGACAUAGUGCUAAGGUUUUCCCUGGAUGGCUGGGUGGGUUUGGGCAGAGCCAUCCUUAGCUAGCCUCCUGGUCCAUUCCUACAUGGCUCCAUGUGAUCUGAUCCUUAGGGUCUGGUCUACAUCCUGCCAGGGACUAGGACUUUUGCUGAGUUCAACUCUAGUCAUUUUAGACCAGCUUUUCUAGAAGCUUCCUCAGGUUCCUUCAUGAGGCACAGAGAGAAACCUUGAAUACCAGCCCCCCAACUCCUGACUUUUUGUCUGUUGAGCUCAUCUUCCUGGCUCCACUGCUGUUGGUUACAAACAGGAAGCAAGGAUGCCCAGAGAGAAGAAAGUGUAUGACCCUGUCACCACCUGUCUGAGGCUCCCAGGCUGAAGUGAGGUCAUCCUUAUCCAUCCACCAGCCUGGAGAUGGUUGACAUCACCAUGCUGUCUCUUCUACCUUUGCACCCAGCCCACGGAUCACAACCCAUGGGAGAGGAUGCAAUUUGCUGAUUUCCCUACCCCGCACCUGGCUCGUGGCUGUGAGGCAAGCCCCCCAGAUAUUUAACCUAAAUCCACCACGCUGUAGAUUUCCAGGAAGACCCAGCUCUCCUAUCUCCUACAACCCGUCAGCUGAAAUUGAGGUCCUAAAACUAGCCAAGGACAUUGUGGCAGACGACCGGGUCCAGUUCCAUGUAUUGAAUGCCUUUGACCCCCCACCCAUUAGCCCCUAUGAUGAUCAGGCCUUGGGCUACCAGCUGCUCCGCCAGACCAUACAGUCUGUCUUCCCGGAAAUCAACAUUGUUGUCCCAGGUACAUGUGUUGUCAGCACAGACAGCAAACACUAUUUGAACCUCACCACUGGCAUCUACCUGUUCAACCCCCUCUACCUGCAGCCGCAGAGCUUCUGCACGUGAGUAUGUGGAACAGGUUUGGACAGCCUGGGGGAGAGAGGAGUUACAUAUGACCUGUCCCUUCCACGCCCCUGUUCUCUUGACAGUCCACAGCAUGGGUGAAAGCCAGGGUUUGCACAAACUAAAAGACACUGUAGAACCCAACUGGCCAACAUUCCUCAGUUCCACAAUCUCACCACUCCCCGAAACUUGUGGGAAUUGGUGACUGUUUUUCAGAGAUAGAGUCCAUCAGAUGAUUGAAAGGAACCUGGUAGAAUCAGAAGCCAUGGGUGCUGUCCCCACCCCUUCCUCCCUUUGAGAGAGUACAUCCCCUCUGAUCUCAUUUUCUCCCCAAAAACGGGAGAUUCCACAGUUGGCAGUUACCGGUGAAAUACAGACACAUUUGAGGUCAAAGGUGGGUCCAUGCUUUGAAUUCUCAAAAGCAAACAUACUGUAGGAAUCUAAGACAUGCUCACAUUUCAACUGCUGUGUGUGAAUUACUCUUUGUGGGUUCUUCAGCAGAUUUUUAGUCCCAGGAUAUGAGGGGAUGAUGUCCAUUUCCUCUCUGCUCCUUACCACAUCCAGCUCUGAUUUCCUCGUCGUAAGUCGGUUGCCAACAAAACAAUUUGAAUAUGAGCUUAAGAACAGAUUUUAGGAGUUCCCAUUGUGGCACAGCAGAAGUGACUCUGACUAGAACCCAUGACAAUGCGGCUUCAGUCCCUGGUCUUUCUCAGUGGAUUAAUGAUCUGGUGAUGCCAUGAGCUGUGGCAUAGGUCACAGACAAGGCUUGGAUUCCAAGUUGUUGUGGCUGUGGUGUAGGCUGGCAGUUGUAGCUCUGAUUCAACCCAUAGCCCGGGAGCUUCCAUAUGCCAUGGGUGUGGCCCUUUAAAAAGCCAAAAAAGAGGAGUUCCCAUCGUGGCUCAGUGGUUAACGAAUCUGACUAGGAACCAUGAGGUUGCGGGUUCGAUUCCUGGCCCUGCUCAGUGGGUUAAGGAUCUGGCGUUGCCAUGAGCUGUGGUGUAGGUUACAGACGCAGCUCAGAUCCGGCGUUGCUGUGGCUGUGGCGUAGGCCGGCGGCUAUAGCUCCAAUUCGACCCCUAGCCUGGGAACCUCCAUAUGCCACAGGAGCGGCCCAAGAAAUGGCAAAAAAGACAAAAAAAAAAAAAAAAAA